RNAcentral lists this long non-coding RNA (1071 nucleotides) under Monodelphis domestica (gray short-tailed opossum). RNAcentral describes it as "lncRNA (ENSMODG00000028127.1)". Lineage: Eukaryota; Metazoa; Chordata; Mammalia; Didelphimorphia; Didelphidae. The record is from RNAcentral.
AUGGAGGGAGACAGAGAGAGAGAGACAGAGACAGAGAGAGAGAGAGAGAGAGAGAGAGAGAGAGAGAGGGAGGGAGAGAGAGAGAGAGAGACAGAGACAGAGAGAGAGAGAGACAGAGAGAGAGAGAGACAGAGAGAGAGAGAGAGAGACAGAGAGACAGAGAGAGACAGAGAGAGAGAGAGACAGAGAGAGAGAGAGAGACAGAGAGAGAGAGAGAGAGAGAGACAGAGAGAGAAAAGAAAGGCAGAAACCAGCGGGGGGGUUGGGGGGAGACAGACAGACAGACAGAGCGAGCGCAGUCAGUGGAUGCCACGUCCUGGGCCACUUCCCAUCUCGAAGGACACACCCGUGAGCUCUAGGCCGCGGCGCCGGGGGCCAGGGAGUGCCACGUGGCUGGCGGGGUGGUCCGGAAGCUCUCUGGGCUUUGCUCGGCUCGGUGACAUCCAGCCAGUCCGUACGGAAGCCCUCGGCGGGGCUCCCCACGAGGACGCAGAGGGGCUCCUUUCCCUGCCCUCUCCGGGGUCUGCUGAUGGCCGGCCGUUCUCUGAGUCUGGGCGCCGGAGCUCCCGCGGGCGACGCCAGGCUGCCUCUGAGGGACUGCGCGGACGCCCUGGUGGGAGGAGCCCUUCAGGGGACGCAGUGGCCGUGGCCGGGCCCUUCUCAGAGGCUCUCCAGCGGGGGCCGCCUCCUUGGGUGGGAGCACCGGAAGGCCUCCGCGCAGGCCCCAGAGGCCCAGGGAGACGCGCCCCGGAGGAGGGGCUUCCGUGUUGGGAUGGCUCGGCAGCCGCUGCCGCCAUGGCGAUCCCCCGUGGCCAUUGGGGGGACCUCAGAGCAGCUCGAGGGGAUCCCGCUGGGCCCAGCUCUGCCUCCUCCUGGCUGGGAGGGCUGCAGUGGAUGGCGUCUGGUGAGGCCCGUGAUGGGGGCCGCGAGGAGCCCGCCCGACGCACUCACCCCAGUCCCACCAGGCUUUCCCCGCUCUCGUGUGCUCUUCUCGGGCCUCCGGCCUGGAGAUUUUCCACAAGACUUUCUGGGGCGGCCAAGAACGGGUCGUGUUUGCACACGGCUCCGUAA